AUGCACAAUCCUCAAGAUGAGGUGCUCUUUUUUCAGUACCAGUGCCAAGAUUCUGCAAGGACACAAAAAGAACUGAAACCUAAAAUCCUUCAUGAAGCUGUCAAAAAUGAGGAGAAGAACUGGUGCUGGAACCAUGAAUACCGAACCAACUUCCAGGACUCCAUUCAGAAUACAGUGACUACAUUCCUUUCCUGUCACAAACUCUGUCAUGAACCUCAAAGCUAUUUGUUCAAAGCCUUGAUCAAAGCCUGGGCCCCUCCAUCUAAGUUUACUUUGAAUUAACUACAGUCUGAGGAGGAAGGAAAUUUA
RNAcentral lists this long non-coding RNA (309 nucleotides) under Chinchilla lanigera (long-tailed chinchilla). RNAcentral describes it as "lncRNA (ENSCLAG00000023764.1)". The record is from RNAcentral. Lineage: Eukaryota; Metazoa; Chordata; Mammalia; Rodentia; Chinchillidae.